GCAUAUCAAUAAGCGGAGGAAAAGAAACCAACAGGGAUUGCCUCAGUAGCGGCGAGUGAAGCGGCAAGAGCUCAGAUUUGAAAUCGUGCUUUGCGGCACGAGUUGUAGAUUGCAGGUUGGAGUCUGUGUGGAAGGCGGUGUCCAAGUCCCUUGGAACAGGGCGCCCAGGAGGGUGAGAGCCCCGUGGGAUGCCGGCGGAAGCAGUGAGGCCCUUCUGACGAGUCGAGUUGUUUGGGAAUGCAGCUCCAAGCGGGUGGUAAAUUCCAUCUAAGGCUAAAUACUGGCGAGAGACCGAUAGCGAACAAGUACUGUGAAGGAAAGAUGAAAAGCACUUUGAAAAGAGAGUGAAACAGCACGUGAAAUUGUUGAAAGGGAAGGGUAUUGCGCCCGACAUGGGGAUUGCGCACCGCUGCCUCUCGUGGGCGGCGCUCUGGGCUUUCCCUGGGCCAGCAUCGGUUCUUGCUGCAGGAGAAGGGGUUCUGGAACGUGGCUCUUCGGAGUGUUAUAGCCAGGGCCAGAUGCUGCGUGCGGGGACCGAGGACUGCGGCCGUGU
RNAcentral lists this ribosomal RNA (553 nucleotides) under Pichia kudriavzevii. RNAcentral's name for it is "eukaryotic LSU rRNA". It matches the Rfam family "Eukaryotic large subunit ribosomal RNA", at positions 38 to 602 of the family's 3401-position model. The record is from RNAcentral. Lineage: Eukaryota; Fungi; Ascomycota; Pichiomycetes; Pichiales; Pichiaceae.